CAGUCGCCGCGGGAAUAUGAAGGGGGCUAGCGUUGUUCGGAUUUACUGGGCGUAAAGCGCACGUAGGCGGAUCGAUCAGUCAGGGGUGAAAUCCCAGAGCUCAACUCUGGAACUGCCUUUGAUACUGUCGAUCUGGAGUAUGGAAGAGGUGAGUGGAAUUCCGAGUGUAGAGGUGAAAUUCGUAGAUAUUCGGAGGAACACCAGUGGCGAAGGCGGCUCACUGGUCCAUUACUGACGCUGAGGUGCGAAAGCGUGGGGAGCAAACCGGAUUAGAGACCCGCGUAGUCCCUGUCUCUUAUAC
RNAcentral lists this ribosomal RNA (301 nucleotides) under uncultured bacterium. RNAcentral's name for it is "partial 16S ribosomal RNA". It matches the Rfam family "Bacterial small subunit ribosomal RNA", at positions 509 to 807 of the family's 1533-position model. The record is from RNAcentral.